RNAcentral lists this unclassified non-coding RNA (275 nucleotides) under Knufia tsunedae. RNAcentral describes it as "partial internal transcribed spacer region". The stretch from base 1 to 46 matches the Rfam family "Eukaryotic small subunit ribosomal RNA", at positions 1786 to 1831 of the family's 1831-position model. Lineage: Eukaryota; Fungi; Ascomycota; Eurotiomycetes; Chaetothyriales; Trichomeriaceae. The record is from RNAcentral. RNAcentral also lists the same sequence under 2 other names.
AAGUCGUAACAAGGUUUCCGUAGGUGAACCUGCGGAAGGAUCAUUACCGAGUUAGGGUUUCGUCCGACGAGCCCGACCUCCCAACCCUUUGUCUAUUAUACCUUGUCGUUGCUUCGGCGGACCGGUCGCGACCAACUAGUCGUGGCCGCCGGGGCCCGUCCCUGGAAAGCGUCCGCCGACGGCCCAACCACAAACUCUUGUACCAAACCAUGUCGUCUGAAUUUACUUGAUUAAAAUCAAAAACAAAACUUUCAACAACGGAUCUCUUGGUUCUG